GGUCCCGUAGUCCAGUGGCAGGAUAUUCGCUGUCAAGUUAUCGAAUGACCCGGGUUCGAUCCCCGGCAGGAUCA
Molecule: transfer RNA, 74 nt
Filed under: Endocarpon pusillum Z07020
Lineage: Eukaryota; Fungi; Ascomycota; Eurotiomycetes; Verrucariales; Verrucariaceae
Description: tRNA-Und (NNN) (tRNA-Und-NNN-2-1)
Rfam family: tRNA
About the family: Transfer RNA (tRNA) molecules are approximately 80 nucleotides in length. Their secondary structure includes four short double-helical elements and three loops (D, anti-codon, and T loops). Further hydrogen bonds mediate the characteristic L-shaped molecular structure. tRNAs have two regions of fundamental functional importance: the anti-codon, which is responsible for specific mRNA codon recognition, and the 3' end, to which the tRNAs corresponding amino acid is attached (by aminoacyl-tRNA synthetases). tRNAs cope with the degeneracy of the genetic code in two manners: having more than one tRNA (with a specific anti-codon) for a particular amino acid; and 'wobble' base-pairing, i.e. permitting non-standard base-pairing at the 3rd anti-codon position.
Source: Rfam by way of RNAcentral